CCCUUAGAGUUUGAUCAUGGCUCAGAUUGAACGCUGGCGGCAUGCUUUACACAUGCAAGUCGAACGGCAGCACGGACUUCGGUCUGGUGGCGAGUGGCGAACGGGUGAGUAAUACAUCGGAACGUGCCCAGUUGUGGGGGAUAACUACUCGAAAGAGUAGCUAAUACCGCAUGAGAACUGAGGUUGAAAGCAGGGGAUCGUAAGACCUUGCGCAACUGGAGCGGCCGAUGGCAGAUUAGGUAGUUGGUGGGAUAAAAGCUUACCAAGCCGACGAUCUGUAGCUGGUCUGAGAGGGCGACCAGCCACACUGGGACUGAGACACGGCCCAGACUCCUACAGGAGGCAGCAGUGGGGAAUUUUGGACAAUGGGCGAAAGCCUGAUCCAGCAAUGCCGCGUGCAGGAUGAAGGCCUUCGGGUUGUAAACUGCUUUUGUACGGAACGAAAAGCUUCGGGUUAAUACCCUGGAGUCAUGACGGUACCGUAAGAAUAAGCACCGGCUAACUACGUGCCAGCAGCCGCGGUAAUACGUAGGGUGCAAGCGUUAAUCGGAAUUACUGGGCGUAAAGCGUGCGCAGGCGGUCUUGUAAGACAGAGGUGA
Molecule: ribosomal RNA, 599 nt
Filed under: uncultured beta proteobacterium
Lineage: Bacteria; Pseudomonadati; Pseudomonadota; Betaproteobacteria
Description: bacterial SSU rRNA
Rfam family: Bacterial small subunit ribosomal RNA
Source: RNAcentral